GAACUGCGAUAAGUAAUGUGAAUUGGAGAAUUCAGUGAAUCAUCGAGUCUUUGAACGCACAUUGCGCCCCCUGGCAUUCCGGGGGGCAUGCCUGUCCGAGCGUCAUUGCUGCCCUUCAAGCCCGGCUUGUGUGUUGGGUCGUCGUCCCCUCCGGGGGACGGGCCCGAAAGGCAGCGGCGGCACCGCGUCCGGUCCUCGAGCGUAUGGGGCUUUGUCACCCGCUCGAUAAGGACCGGCCGGGCGCCAGCCGGCGUCUCCAACCUUUUUUUCUCAGGUUGACCUCGGAUCAGGUAGGGAUACCCGCUGAACUUAAGC
RNAcentral lists this unclassified non-coding RNA (315 nucleotides) under plant metagenome. Its description in RNAcentral is "partial contains 5.8S ribosomal RNA, internal transcribed spacer 2, and large subunit ribosomal RNA". The stretch from base 1 to 105 matches the Rfam family "5.8S ribosomal RNA", at positions 50 to 154 of the family's 154-position model. The record is from RNAcentral.